Molecule: long non-coding RNA, 667 nt
Filed under: Phaseolus vulgaris (common bean)
Lineage: Eukaryota; Viridiplantae; Streptophyta; Magnoliopsida; Fabales; Fabaceae
Description: long non-coding RNA (PVUL_LNC001228)
Source: RNAcentral
UAGGGUUGUAUCUCUGCUUCUGGAAUCUUCAUCUUCUUAAACGUUUCCCAAUACAGGAUGUCGACCGAGCUACCCUGAUCUACCAAAACUUUUGCAAUUGCAAAUUUAUCUAUCUCCACAGUUAUUACCAUGGGGUCAUCUUGAGAUGGAUCGAUUGCUGUGAAGUCUUCGUUAGUGAAAGUGAUUGGUGGUAUAUGCGGUCGGCGUUGUGUGGAAGUCGAAUGAACGGAUUGAAUUGCUCUCAAAUGUUUUUUCCUUGCUGAAUUAGAGCAUCCUCCACCCGCAAAGCCACCUGCAAUGUAAUUAAUUUCUUGAGGGGGCUGACCGAGCGACACCGGUCCAGCGAUUGUAUUGAUGACUGUGCGAACUUUUUGUUUAGUUCGACUUCUACGUUCAGGGCUUUCGCUUUUAGGCCUCGUUCGUCUGAUCGGACUUUCGCUUCUUUUUCUUCUGUUUGAACGAUAGUGGUUGUCACGGGUCCGGUCGUCUCUUCGUCCCGAACGUUCGCGGGGAUCAUGAUCACGCUGGGGUGACCUGGGUGCAGUGAUGGUGGUUUUCACGAACUUGCGGAGAUGACCGGCCUGGACGAGCUCUUCAAUUUUAUCUUUCAGUGCUUGGCAUCCUUCGGUCGUGUGGCCAUAGUUACGAUGGUAUUGGCAACGUUUAC